AGUGAACGCUGGCGGUAGGCCUAACACAUGCAAGUCGAACGGCAGCACAGUAAGAGCUUGCUCUUACGGGUGGCGAGUGGCGGACGGGUGAGGAAUACAUCGGAAUCUACUUUUUCGUGGGGGAUAACGUAGGGAAACUUACGCUAAUACCGCAUACGACCUACGGGUGAAAGCAGGGGAUCUUCGGACCUUGCGCGAUUGAAUGAGCCGAUGUCGGAUUAGCUAGUUGGCGGGGUAAAGGCCCACCAAGGCGACGAUCCGUAGCUGGUCUGAGAGGAUGAUGCGACACUGUGACUGAGAGACACUCCAGAGUCCUAUACGAGGGGCCGCAGUGGAAUAUUGUAGAAUGGGGGCGAACCCCUGACACAGCCAUCCCGCGUGGGUAGAGAAGGCUCUCGUGUUGUAAAGCUCUUUUGUUGGAAAAGAAACGGAGCAGGUUAAUACCCCGCUGUUCUGGCGGUACAAAGAGAAUGCGCCCCCGCUCACUUCG
RNAcentral lists this ribosomal RNA (490 nucleotides) under uncultured bacterium. Its description in RNAcentral is "partial 16S ribosomal RNA". It matches the Rfam family "Bacterial small subunit ribosomal RNA", at positions 29 to 505 of the family's 1533-position model. The record is from RNAcentral.